RNAcentral lists this ribosomal RNA (504 nucleotides) under uncultured bacterium. RNAcentral's name for it is "partial 16S ribosomal RNA". It matches the Rfam family "Bacterial small subunit ribosomal RNA", at positions 30 to 523 of the family's 1533-position model. The record is from RNAcentral.
AUUGAACGCUGGCGGCAGGCCUAACACAUGCAAGUCGAACGGUAGCACAGAGAGCUUGCUCUUGGGUGACGAGUGGCGGACGGGUGAGUAAUGUCUGGGAAACUGCCCGAUGGAGGGAGAUAACUACUGGAAACGGUAGCUAAUACCGCAUAACGUCUUCGGACCAAAGUGGGGGACCUUCGGGCCUCACACCAUCGGAUGUGCCCAGAUGGGAUUAGCUAGUAGGUGGGGUAAUGGCUCACCUAGGCGACGAUCCCUAGCUGGUCUGAGAGGAUGACCAGCCACACUGGAACUGAGACACGGUCCAGACUCCUACGGGAGGCAGCAGUGGGGAAUAUUGCACAAUGGGCGCAAGCCUGAUGCAGCCAUGCCGCGUGUAUGAAGAAGGCCUUCGGGUUGUAAAGUACUUUCAGCGGGGAGGAAGGCGAUGGAGUUAAUAGCUUCAUCGAUUGACGUUACCCGCAGAAGAAGCACCGGCUAACUCCGUGCCAGCCGCCGCGGUAA